CAAGCUUGAUCGUUGGAUCACUUGGCUCACGGGUCGAUAAAGAACGUAGCUAGCUACGUUAAAUAACAUGACUUGCAAACUACAUGAUUGUUAAGGUUUCGAAUGCAAAUUGCACUUAUGGUUUUCAACUAUAAGUCUAUCUGUUUGAGAUCCAUA
This 156-nucleotide ribosomal RNA is filed under the name Halicephalobus gingivalis. Its description in RNAcentral is "5.8S ribosomal RNA". It matches the Rfam family "5.8S ribosomal RNA". From Rfam's summary of the family: 5.8S ribosomal RNA (5.8S rRNA) is a component of the large subunit of the eukaryotic ribosome. The record is from RNAcentral. Lineage: Eukaryota; Metazoa; Nematoda; Chromadorea; Rhabditida; Panagrolaimidae.